CUGUGACAGCCUUCGCCGCGCCGCCCGAGCCCGUCGCUCCGCUCAAGCCGGUGGCCGAGCGCGGCAUUCCGAAAGGCGCUGAAAGUUUCCUCCAAAUAGCUGCGGCCAAGAGGUGGCGGCAAACAGGGCCGGGCCAGGGCUUCUUCCCAGCCCUCCUCCCCAAGGAAGGAAGGGCUAACUUUAACAGCGGCAGCAGAAGAGGGAAUGGUGGUGACUGAGGAGACGGGCGAGCAGCACUAACUUCUGUCUUUUGAGUCUUCCCUUUCCUCACAGAGCAGCACGCCCUUUCUCUAAAGGGCAGACUGGAGCUCUAGCACACACUUGGCACAGCCCUGCUCUUCAGAACCACAGUUCUUCCUGGGCGGAAGCAGCCUUGGCACCCACAUCUGUAAACAGCCGUCAGGUUUUCUAGUGAAACCAGUUAAGUCAACAAGUCAUGGGGCUGGUCCUAGGCAGAUGGCCUCUGCCCAAAAGAACACGGAACAAGGUAGAGUUAGACUUUGAAAUAUGCUGCGUUCUGUGUUUUUAAACUCCGGGCAGUCUUUAAACGCUCUGCUUAUGGAUCGUGCUCUCAAUCUUUUCCACAUGGCCUUUUGCGAAAUGCAGGCUGAACAGUGGACAAACAGGGCGAAUCUUUUUCAAGGUGGGGUCAGAGCUAGGAAGGAGCAGCCAUCGAUGUUAGAAAGCUCCAGCUCCUAAUCGCCCUACCUGGCACUGCUGAAAGGUGGGGAUGAGGUUAUGUGAAAUCAUCAGCGUUUAUGCUCGACUGGCAAACCUAAAUAAAAACUGGACUCUCUCAACCCGAAACUCUCUAGUAGGGAAAAAAAGAGACGAGCAAACGGCGUCGAAAUCCUUGGAAAACGGAGGAUGCAUCUUUCCACCGGAUUUGAGAAUAAAGCAUCUUGUCUAGUGAGGAAAGCCAACAUGGCCUCCUGGAGAUAGUCACAGGAAAUGGUAUUUCCCAGCCUCUCUCCUUCACCAACCAGCAUGCUCGGCCCCAUUGAGGUGUGAGCAGCCUUCUAAAGAUGCCGAAUACUAAGAAAGUGCAUAGCCAGGCCAACAGCCAG
Fukomys damarensis (Damara mole-rat) is the source of this 1067-nucleotide long non-coding RNA. RefSeq lists it as uncharacterized. NCBI's taxonomy places the organism in Eukaryota, Metazoa, Chordata, Mammalia, Rodentia, Bathyergidae. The transcript is spliced from 3 exons. The record is from RefSeq and is a predicted model, not a curated record.